RNAcentral lists this ribosomal RNA (195 nucleotides) under uncultured bacterium. RNAcentral's name for it is "partial 16S ribosomal RNA". It matches the Rfam family "Bacterial small subunit ribosomal RNA", at positions 333 to 528 of the family's 1533-position model. The record is from RNAcentral.
AAAAUACGGGAGGCAGCAGUGAGGAAUAUUGGUCAAUGGGCGAGAGCCUGAACCAGCCAAGUAGCGUGCGGGAUGAAGGCCCUUGUGGUCGUAAACCGCUUUUAUGUGGGGAUAAAUUCAAUCACGUGUGAUUGUUUGCAGGUACCACAUGAAUAAGGACCGGCUAAUUCCGUGCCAGCAGCCGCGGUAAUUUUU